Molecule: ribosomal RNA, 895 nt
Filed under: uncultured Lactococcus sp.
Lineage: Bacteria; Bacillati; Bacillota; Bacilli; Lactobacillales; Streptococcaceae
Description: bacterial SSU rRNA
Rfam family: Bacterial small subunit ribosomal RNA
Source: RNAcentral
UAGAGUUUGAUCAUGGCUCAGGACGAACGCUGGCGGCGUGCCUAAUACAUGCAAGUUGAGCGAUGAAGAUUGGUGCUUGCACCAAUUUGAAGAGCAGCGAACGGGUGAGUAACGCGUGGGGAAUCUGCCUUUGAGCGGGGACAACAUUUGGAAACGAAUGCUAAUACCGCAUAAUAACUUUAAACAUAAGUUUUAAGUUUGAAAGAUGCAAUUGCAUCACUCAAAGAUGAUCCCGCGUUGUAUUAGCUAGUUGGUGAGGUAAAGGCUCACCAAGGCGAUGAUACAUAGCCGACCUGAGAGGGUGAUCGGCCACAUUGGGACUGAGACACGGCCCAAACUCCUACGGGAGGCAGCAGUAGGGAAUCUUCGGCAAUGGACGAAAGUCUGACCGAGCAACGCCGCGUGAGUGAAGAAGGUUUUCGGAUCGUAAAACUCUGUUGGUAGAGAAGAACGUUGGUGAGAGUGGAAAGCUCAUCAAGUGACGGUAACUACCCAGAAAGGGACGGCUAACUACGUGCCAGCAGCCGCGGUAAUACGUAGGUCCCGAGCGUUGUCCGGAUUUAUUGGGCGUAAAGCGAGCGCAGGUGGUUUAUUAAGUCUGGUGUAAAGGCAGUGGCUCAACCAUUGUAUGCAUUGGAAACUGGUAGACUUGAGUGCAGGAGAGGAGAGUGGAAUUCCAUGUGUAGCGGUGAAAUGCGUAGAUAUAUGGAGGAACACCGGUGGCGAAAGCGGCUCUCUGGCCUGUAACUGACACUGAGGCUCGAAAGCGUGGGGAGCAAACAGGAUUAGAUACCCUGGUAGUCCACGCCGUAAACGAUGAGUGCUAGAUGUAGGGAGCUAUAAGUUCUCUGUAUCGCAGCUAACGCAAUAAGCACUCCGCCUGGGGAGUACGACC